Molecule: ribosomal RNA, 2861 nt
Filed under: Salmonella enterica subsp. enterica serovar Typhimurium
Lineage: Bacteria; Pseudomonadati; Pseudomonadota; Gammaproteobacteria; Enterobacterales; Enterobacteriaceae
Description: bacterial LSU rRNA
Source: RNAcentral
AGCGUACACGGUGGAUGCCCUGGCAGUCAGAGGCGAUGAAGGGCGUGCUAAUCUGCGAUAAGCGCCGGUAAGGUGAUAUGAACCGUUAUAACCGGCGAUACCCGAAUGGGGAAACCCAGUGUGACUCGUCACACUAUCAUUAACUGAAUCCAUAGGUUAAUGAGGCGAACCGGGGGAACUGAAACAUCUAAGUACCCCGAGGAAAAGAAAUCAACCGAGAUUCCCCCAGUAGCGGCGAGCGAACGGGGAGGAGCCCAGAGCCUGAAUCAGCAUGUGUGUUAGUGGAAGCGUCUGGAAAGGCGCGCGAUACAGGGUGACAGCCCCGUACACAAAAGCGCAUGUGCUGUGAGCUCGAUGAGUAGGGCGGGACACGUGGUAUCCUGUCUGAAUAUGGGGGGACCAUCCUCCAAGGCUAAAUACUCCUGACUGACCGAUAGUGAACCAGUACCGUGAGGGAAAGGCGAAAAGAACCCCGGCGAGGGGAGUGAAAAAGAACCUGAAACCGUGUACGUACAAGCAGUGGGAGCACAGGUUUACCUGUGUGACUGCGUACCUUUUGUAUAAUGGGUCAGCGACUUAUAUUCUGUAGCAAGGUUAACCGUAUAGGGGAGCCGUAGGGAAACCGAGUCUUAACCGGGCGUUAAGUUGCAGGGUAUAGACCCGAAACCCGGUGAUCUAGCCAUGGGCAGGUUGAAGGUUGGGUAACACUAACUGGAGGACCGAACCGACUAAUGUUGAAAAAUUAGCGGAUGACCUGUGGCUGGGGGUGAAAGGCCAAUCAAACCGGGAGAUAGCUGGUUCUCCCCGAAAGCUAUUUAGGUAGCGCCUCGUGAAUUCAUCUCCGGGGGUAGAGCACUGUUUCGGCUAGGGGGCCAUCCCGGCUUACCAACCCGAUGCAAACUGCGAAUACCGGAGAAUGUUAUCACGGGAGACACACGGCGGGUGCUAACGUCCGUCGUGAAGAGGGAAACAACCCAGACCGCCAGCUAAGGUCCCAAAGUCAUGGUUAAGUGGGAAACGAUGUGGGAAGGCCCAGACAGCCAGGAUGUUGGCUUAGAAGCAGCCAUCAUUUAAAGAAAGCGUAAUAGCUCACUGGUCGAGUCGGCCUGCGCGGAAGAUGUAACGGGGCUAAACCAUGCACCGAAGCUGCGGCAGCGAACGUAUCACCCAAGACAACUUUACGGAGUUGACGAUUGACGGAGCGAAGCGACGUCAAAGCGUUCAUUAAAGUCGAGUUGGCUUAGGGAUACGUUCGUUGGGUAGGGGAGCGUUCUGUAAGCCUGUGAAGGUGUGUCGUGAGGCAUGCUGGAGGUAUCAGAAGUGCGAAUGCUGACAUAAGUAACGAUAAAGCGGGUGAAAAGCCCGCUCGCCGGAAGACCAAGGGUUCCUGUCCAACGUUAAUCGGGGCAGGGUGAGUCGACCCCUAAGGCGAGGCCGAAAGGCGUAGUCGAUGGGAAACGGGUUAAUAUUCCCGUACUUGGUGUUACUGCGAAGGGGGGACGGAGAAGGCUAUGUUGGCCGGGCGACGGUUGUCCCGGUUUAAGCGUGUAGGUGUGUGUUCCAGGUAAAUCCGGUUCACUUUAACACUGAGGCGUGACGACGAGGCACUACGGUGCUGAAGCAACAAAUGCCCUGCUUCCAGGAAAAGCCUCUAAGCAUCAGGUAACACGAAAUCGUACCCCAAACCGACACAGGUGGUCAGGUAGAGAAUACCAAGGCGCUUGAGAGAACUCGGGUGAAGGAACUAGGCAAAAUGGUGCCGUAACUUCGGGAGAAGGCACGCUGACACGUAGGUGAAGUGAUUUACUCAUGGAGCUGAAGUCAGUCGAAGAUACCAGCUGGCUGCAACUGUUUAUUAAAAACACAGCACUGUGCAAACACGAAAGUGGACGUAUACGGUGUGACGCCUGCCCGGUGCCGGAAGGUUAAUUGAUGGGGUCAGCGUAAGCGAAGCUCCUGAUCGAAGCCCCGGUAAACGGCGGCCGUAACUAUAACGGUCCUAAGGUAGCGAAAUUCCUUGUCGGGUAAGUUCCGACCUGCACGAAUGGCGUAAUGAUGGCCAGGCUGUCUCCACCCGAGACUCAGUGAAAUUGAACUCGCUGUGAAGAUGCAGUGUACCCGCGGCAAGACGGAAAGACCCCGUGAACCUUUACUAUAGCUUGACACUGAACAUUGAGCCUUGAUGUGUAGGAUAGGUGGGAGGCUUUGAAGUGUGGACGCCAGUCUGCAUGGAGCCGACCUUGAAAUACCACCCUUUAAUGUUUGAUGUUCUAACGUGGACCCGUAAUCCGGGUUGCGGACAGUGUCUGGUGGGUAGUUUGACUGGGGCGGUCUCCUCCUAAAGAGUAACGGAGGAGCACGAAGGUUGGCUAAUCCUGGUCGGACAUCAGGAGGUUAGUGCAAUGGCAUAAGCCAGCUUGACUGCGAGCGUGACGGCGCGAGCAGGUGCGAAAGCAGGUCAUAGUGAUCCGGUGGUUCUGAAUGGAAGGGCCAUCGCUCAACGGAUAAAAGGUACUCCGGGGAUAACAGGCUGAUACCGCCCAAGAGUUCAUAUCGACGGCGGUGUUUGGCACCUCGAUGUCGGCUCAUCACAUCCUGGGGCUGAAGUAGGUCCCAAGGGUAUGGCUGUUCGCCAUUUAAAGUGGUACGCGAGCUGGGKUUAGAACGUCGUGAGACAGUUCGGUCCCUAUCUGCCGUGGGCGCUGGAGRACUGAGGGGGGCUGCUCCUAGUACGAGAGGACCGGAGUGGACGCAUCACUGGUGUUCGGGUUGUCAUGCCAAUGGCACUGCCCGGUAGCUAAAUGCGGAAGAGAUAAGUGCUGAAAGCAUCUAAGCACGAAACUUGCCCCGAGAUGAGUUCU